Mangifera indica (mango) is the source of this 3593-nucleotide RNA transcript. It is a transcript of the gene named BTB/POZ domain-containing protein At1g04390, with no coding region annotated. NCBI's taxonomy places the organism in Eukaryota, Viridiplantae, Streptophyta, Magnoliopsida, Sapindales, Anacardiaceae. The transcript is spliced from 10 exons. The record is from RefSeq and is a predicted model, not a curated record.
AAUUCGAACGAAGGUCGGUUCGGUGUCCGACACGUGACUGAGGUCCGUCAAAAUUGCAGUGCCCCACUGGUGUUCCGGCGACUUCUGGAAUAAUAAGAAUUUGCAAAAAAAAAAAAAAAAAAAAAGGGAAAAAAAUGAGAGCUUCAAAUUCAAAACAUGGCGGAGGAGAGAACAACAGAGGCAUUAGUGGUCACCUAUUUACUCUCCAUCAGCGUCUCUUCUAUGCUCUUAGUCUCGGAACCAGAUGCGGUGAAGGUGGAAGGGAAUUGAAAUCGAAAUGGAAGUCUACGGACAUUGAGAUACAGAGACAUGUAGUUCGCUCAAUCGCGGCUUUUCUUGAUUCUGUUACUGCUGAUGUGUCGCACCAUCCGCUCGUUAAGGAUUCAGUUGCUCACAUAGUUGAGGCUUUGGUGUGGAUUCUGCAGUAUAAGAGUGGAGCUGUAUUGAGUAUGGCAGCGAAUGCAGUUGUGAAGCUUUUGACUGUUAUUCCCUCUUCUAUAUUGCAACGGUAUAUAUUAGAUCUUGGUGAUCCUUUGUUGUCCCUGUUGUCUUUUACUCAAUUAGAAGUUGCUAUUUCUUGUGCUACAGCUAUGAACAUGUUUCUCUCUAAUCUGAUUGUAAAGAAGGAAAAACAAGUUUGGGAAAUGCUAAAAGAAAGAAAUACUGUUGCCUGUAUUGUUAAUGAGAUUCGAAAGUUUUCUUAUGAGACUAUGCCAAUUAAUUAUUUCCAAACGAUUGCUUCUCUUUUGAGUACCAUAAUGUGGCAAUGGCCCCUCUCUCGAUAUGCUGUUUGGAAUGAUACCAUACUGAUGAAAGUUUUAGACACUCUACUUGUGAAGCCUGACCUCUCAGUCAAAGUUGUAGUUUUGAAGUUGUAUUCUUCAUUAGGUUUAUGUGGGAAUGCAGCCAAAAAGCUUCUAGACAAUGGAGAAGCCCUUCUACAAGCAAUGGUUCUCUGCAUGGACAGCUCAUGUCCUCUUGCUGUCCGGACAGAGGGAUUCAGACUAGCCCAAUGUUUAGCGACAAAUGAACAGAAUUUCUUAAGAAUGACAAGCUUGUGUUGUGAGCCCCUUGUUAAAGCUGUUGUUUGUGGGAUGAAUAGAUGGAGCUUUGGCCCUGGAAGGUUUUUAAGUGACAAGAUGUCUUUACUAGUUGAGGCAUGUCAUUUGGGUCUAGUUACUCGUUGGGCAGGGAGGCAUCACAUUUAUUUUUGGAACCAUGGGAUUGAAAAGAUCCUCCUUGAUCUUAUUCUGGAAGAUUUUAACGAUCAACACGUACAACAUUUCUUGUCACUAGAAGAACAGAUAACGAUGGCACAAGUGGGUCUUAAUAAAAAUUUUCUUCUUGUUUUGAGACCUUACAUCUGGAAUAUUCUUGGAUGGCUUGCAACAUACUGUGAGGAAGACUUCAGUCCUAAUGUGAAAGGAAAUGAACUUCACAUCAAAGUACUUAUUAUAUGUGCUUGCUUGGAAUUUGCCAACUCCAUCAGCAUGGGGCAUCAAAUCUGUGAAAUUGAUGCCAUGCAAGCCCCCAGAAGUGAAUCAGCAUCAUGGGCAGUUCUCAUGAUGGUUUAUUCUCCCUGCAAGUACAUUGCGUCAAAUGCCAGAUUUAUAUUAUCGGAAAUUCUAUUGCCAAAUGGAAAGGACUACUUGAAGAACUUGCUGCAUUCACUAAACUAUGUAUCAUCAGUAGAAUGUAGUGGAUUGUCAUAUAUACAUCAAACAGUCAUUGAUUUGGUAGGUUUGGCAUGCUACUUAGCCUUGCCAGAGUAUCAAAGGCAUGUGAUUGAAGGUAAAGGAAUGAAGAUAGCGUCGGAUUUUGUGACUUGGUGUUGGAGCGAUCAUAUGCAUAUUAAGAGGCAAAGGUUUAACCCUCAUUGGGAUAAUAAGUUUCUGAAGAGGACUUGUUGCUGGGUACAUGCUGAAGAAUGGGAAGGUGAUGAUGUCCUUUUGCUUUAUGGUUUAUGGGCACUAGCUGAGUUGGUACACCAUUCUGGUUGUGUAAAAGAUAAUAGAGACAUAUGUAGUGGUGGCGUAAACAGUGAGGAAAUUCAUUUGCGUAGCAUACUCCAGGAGAUCUGCAAUGACUCUUCUAGUGAUGGACCAAAAUGGUUUGCUGCAUAUAUUCUUAGUCAUUUUGGAUUUUAUGGUUUUCCAAGUAAACUUGGGAAAAGGGUGGGGAAAGCACUUAAUGAGGAAGGACAUGCAGAUAUUCAAUUCAUACUAAGAGAUGGGGAGACUAUGAGUGUACACAGUAUAGUUCUUAAGAUACGAUGCCCAUCAUUGCUGCCUCCUGAAGCAUCGCCAUGUGAUGAGAAAGCAUUGACUAAUUCUUCAGUCAUUGAUGAUGCUCAAAAGGCCCAUGGAAAAUUUCAAAAAGAAGUUCGUUUAUCUGCUCAUGUUGACAGCCAAGCAUUGCUGAGACUGUUAGAGUAUGUUUACUUUGGUUUUCUGGAAGCAGGGGAUGAACUUGUGAAUAAGUUGAAACCUCUGGCUAAAAGUUGUAAUUUGCAAUCUCUAUUACGACUGUUAUACAGAAAAAGUCCCAAGUGGGGAACUCCUGUCCCCAGCUCUGAUCUUGCUGUUGCUCUUGGUCCAGUUGGGCACUGUCGUUCGGACAUCAUCCUGGAAGCUAAAGCAACUGAACUAUCAUGCUGGACGUGCAGCGUUUGCUCUCUACCAGUGCCACACAUGCAUGUUCAUAAAGUUAUACUGUGGUCAAGUUGUGAUUAUCUGAGAGCAUUGUUUGAAUCAGGGAUGCAAGAGAGCCAUUCGCAAACCAUAAAGGUCCCUUGUAGUUGGGAAGCUAUGGUUAAGCUAGUGGAAUGGCUCUAUACAGGACAGCUACCAGACCCUCCCAAUGGGUGUUUAUGGGACAAUAUGGAUUCUGAGGAAAAAUUGUACCAGCUGCUGCCAUUUAUAGAGCUUUGUUGGCUUGCUGAUUUCUGGCGUUUGGAAGGUGUUCAGGAUGUAUCUUAUAAAGUGAUUGUAUCUUGUCUGGAUGCCUCCCGAGAAUUGUCUAUCAAAGUAAUCCAGAUUGCUGCUAAAUUUUCUCUGUGGAAGUUGGCUGAAGUUGCUGCAGAGCUCAUGGCCCCUUUAUAUUAUAAACUACGAGACUCUGGUGAUCUUGAACAGCUGGAUGACUUCUUAGUUGAUCUGGUUCGUACUGCUUCUGUUCGACAUUGUCAAGAGAUAACCAUCGAAACCUGAAACUGAGGGGGAGUCAAGAUUUAUUGCUGAUUUAAUUUUAGAACUUUGAUUGGUGGGUUCAACAUCAGCACUCAGUAUGUUUAACAACAGUAGAACGUUGUUGAAAAAUCACUAGAACAGUGUCUAAAGCAGGAGUAUAGUACUGGAAAAUCACAAGAAGGCGCCAAAAAUAAGUACAAUAUUGAAAACAAGAGAACAGUCACACCGCUCACUUCUCAUAUUUGCAUGCUGCUGCGUUCAGAUUCGUUUCCUCUCUGGGUGUUUUUGGAUGGCCCAGAUACAAGAAAAGGUAAGUCAAAAAGAGAAAAUUAUAAAUUAUCAAGGUGAAAAUGACUUUUUUUUCUGUGUUAUUAGGAAAAAAAAGAUAUUAUCGCUAUUAUAUAU